Molecule: ribosomal RNA, 900 nt
Filed under: Bacillus pumilus
Lineage: Bacteria; Bacillati; Bacillota; Bacilli; Caryophanales; Bacillaceae
Description: bacterial SSU rRNA
Rfam family: Bacterial small subunit ribosomal RNA
Source: RNAcentral
GGUAAGACGCUGGCGGCGUGCCUAAUACAUGCAAGUCGAGCGGACAGAAGGGAGCUUGCUCCCGGAUGUUAGCGGCGGACGGGUGAGUAACACGUGGGUAACCUGCCUGUAAGACUGGGAUAACUCCGGGAAACCGGAGCUAAUACCGGAUAGUUCCUUGAACCGCAUGGUUCAAGGAUGAAAGACGGUUUCGGCUGUCACUUACAGAUGGACCCGCGGCGCAUUAGCUAGUUGGUGGGGUAAUGGCUCACCAAGGCGACGAUGCGUAGCCGACCUGAGAGGGUGAUCGGCCACACUGGGACUGAGACACGGCCCAGACUCCUACGGGAGGCAGCAGUAGGGAAUCUUCCGCAAUGGACGAAAGUCUGACGGAGCAACGCCGCGUGAGUGAUGAAGGUUUUCGGAUCGUAAAGCUCUGUUGUUAGGGAAGAACAAGUGCGAGAGUAACUGCUCGCACCUUGACGGUACCUAACCAGAAAGCCACGGCUAACUACGUGCCAGCAGCCGCGGUAAUACGUAGGUGGCAAGCGUUGUCCGGAAUUAUUGGGCGUAAAGGGCUCGCAGGCGGUUUCUUAAGUCUGAUGUGAAAGCCCCCGGCUCAACCGGGGAGGGUCAUUGGAAACUGGGAAACUUGAGUGCAGAAGAGGAGAGUGGAAUUCCACGUGUAGCGGUGAAAUGCGUAGAGAUGUGGAGGAACACCAGUGGCGAAGGCGACUCUCUGGUCUGUAACUGACGCUGAGGAGCGAAAGCGUGGGGAGCGAACAGGAUUAGAUACCCUGGUAGUCCACGCCGUAAACGAUGAGUGCUAAGUGUUAGGGGGUUUCCGCCCCUUAGUGCUGCAGCUAACGCAUUAAGCACUCCGCCUGGGGAGUACGGUCGCAAGACUGAAACUCAAAGGAA